RNAcentral lists this ribosomal RNA (234 nucleotides) under uncultured bacterium. RNAcentral's name for it is "partial 16S ribosomal RNA". It matches the Rfam family "Bacterial small subunit ribosomal RNA", at positions 15 to 238 of the family's 1533-position model. The record is from RNAcentral.
GAUUCAUGGCUCAGGAUGAACGCUGGCGGCAUGCCUAAUACAUGCAAGUCGAACGAGAGGAAGGAAAGCUUGCUUUUCUGAAUCUAGUGGCGAACGGGUGAGUAACACGUAGGUAACCUGCCCAUGUGCCCGGGAUAACUUCUGGAAACGGAUGCUAAAACCGGAUAGGUAGCAGACAAGCAUUUGACUGCUAUUAAAGUGGCCUUGGCCAUGAACAUGGAUGGACCUGCGGUG